GAGCGAACAGACGAGGAGCUUGCUCCUCUGACGUUAGCGGCGGACGGGUGAGUAACACGUGGAUAACCUACCUAUAAGACUGGGAUAACUUCGGGAAACCGGAGCUAAUACCGGAUAAUAUAUUGAACCGCAUGGUUCAAUAGUGAAAGACGGUUUUGCUAUCACUUAUAGAUGGACCCGCGCCGUAUUAGCUAGUUGGUAAAGUAACGGCUUACCAAGGCAACGAUACGUAGCCGACCUGAGAGGGUGAUCGGCCACACUGGAACUGAGACACGGUCCAGACUCCUACGGGAGGCAGCAGUAGGGAAUCUUCCGCAAUGGGCGAAAGCCUGACGGAGCAACGCCGCGUGAGUGAUGAAGGGUUUCGGCUCGUAAAACUCUGUUAUUAGGGAAGAACAAACGUGUAAGUAACUGUGCACGUCUUGACGGUACCUAAUCAGAAAGCCACGGCUAACUACGUGCCAGCAGCCGCGGUAAUACGUAGGUGGCAAGCGUUAUCCGGAAUUAUUGGGCGUAAAGCGCGCGUAGGCGGUUUUUUAAGUCUGAUGUGAAAGCCCACGGCUCAACCGUGGAGGGUCAUUGGAAACUGAAAAACUUGAGUGCAGAAGAGGAAAGUGGAAUUCCAUGUGUAGCGGUGAAAUGCGCAGAGAUAUGGAGGAACACCAGUGGCGAAGGCGACUUUCUGGUCUGUAACUGACGCUGAUGUGCGAAAGCGUGGGGAUCAAACAGGAUUA
RNAcentral lists this ribosomal RNA (734 nucleotides) under uncultured Staphylococcus sp. RNAcentral describes it as "bacterial SSU rRNA". It matches the Rfam family "Bacterial small subunit ribosomal RNA", at positions 64 to 780 of the family's 1533-position model. The record is from RNAcentral. Lineage: Bacteria; Bacillati; Bacillota; Bacilli; Caryophanales; Staphylococcaceae.